RNAcentral lists this unclassified non-coding RNA (22 nucleotides) under Chlamydomonas reinhardtii. RNAcentral's name for it is "small RNA Cre_2097". Lineage: Eukaryota; Viridiplantae; Chlorophyta; Chlorophyceae; Chlamydomonadales; Chlamydomonadaceae. The record is from RNAcentral.
GUUGGCUGCUGCUGCUGCUGCG